GACGAACGCUGGCGGCGUGCCUAGUACAUGCAAGUAGAACGCUGAAGGAGGAGCUUGCUUCUCUGGAUGAGUUGCGAACGGGUGAGUAACGCGUAGGUAACCUGCCUGGUAGCGGGGGAUAACUAUUGGAAACGAUAGCUAAUACCGCAUAAUAGUAGAUGUUGCAUGACAUUUGCUUAAAAGGUGCAAUUGCAUCACUACCAGAUGGACCUGCGUUGUAUUAGCUAGUUGGUGAGGUAACGGCUCACCAAGGCGACGAUACAUAGCCGACCUGAGAGGGUGAUCGGCCACACUGGGACUGAGACACGGCCCAGACUCCUACGGGAGGCAGCAGUAGGGAAUCUUCGGCAAUGGACGGAAGUCUGACCGAGCAACGCCGCGUGAGUGAAGAAGGUUUUCGGAUCGUAAAGCUCUGUUGUAAGAGAAGAACGAGUGUGAGAGUGGAAAGUUCACACUGUGACGGUAUCUUACCAGAAAGGGACGGCUAACUACGUG
Molecule: ribosomal RNA, 495 nt
Filed under: uncultured bacterium
Lineage: Bacteria
Description: partial 16S ribosomal RNA
Rfam family: Bacterial small subunit ribosomal RNA
Source: RNAcentral